GAAGCAGACCGCCUUAUCGCUGUUUCAGACUUGAUCUGGAAUGGAGGAAAGUCCGGACACCACAGGGCAGCAUAGUGGGUAACACCCACCAUUUCAUUCUGAAUUUUCAUGAAUGGAAUAGGACUAGUGCAACAGAAAGGAUGUACAGGUAAUGCUGUAGUGAAAUCAGGUAAACUCUAUGCGGUGCAAUGCCAUGUAUACCGGCUGUUAAGGAUUGCCCGUCCGAUGCCGGAGGGUAGGCAGCUAAAGGCUUUUGGCAACAGAAGUCUCAGAUAAAUGAUAAGGGGCGGAAUUUAUUCCACAACAGAAUCCGGCUUACAGGUCUGCUUUUUUA
RNAcentral lists this RNase P RNA (334 nucleotides) under Salinimicrobium oceani. RNAcentral describes it as "Salinimicrobium sp. CDJ15-91 RNase P RNA component class A". It matches the Rfam family "Bacterial RNase P class A". Rfam says of the family: Ribonuclease P (RNase P) is a ubiquitous endoribonuclease, found in archaea, bacteria and eukarya as well as chloroplasts and mitochondria. Its best characterised activity is the generation of mature 5'-ends of tRNAs by cleaving the 5'-leader elements of precursor-tRNAs. Cellular RNase Ps are ribonucleoproteins. The record is from RNAcentral. Lineage: Bacteria; Pseudomonadati; Bacteroidota; Flavobacteriia; Flavobacteriales; Flavobacteriaceae.